GAUGAAGAACGUAGCGAAAUGCGAUACGUAAUGUGAAUUGCAGAAUUCAGUGAAUCAUCGAGUCUUUGAACGCACAUUGCGCCCCCUGGUAUUCCGGGGGGCAUGCCUGUCCGAGCGUCAUUGCUGCCCUCAAGCCCGGCUUGUGUGUUGGGUCUCGUCCCCCUUCCCGGGGGGACGGGCCCGAAAGGCAGCGGCGGCACCGCGUCCGGUCCUCGAGCGUAUGGGGCUUUGUCACCCGCUCUGUAGGCCCGGCCGGCGCUUGCCGAUCAACCAAAACUUUUUUCCAGGUUGACCUCGGAUCAGGUAGGGAUACCCGCUGAACUUAGGCAUAUCAAUAAGCAGAGGA
RNAcentral lists this unclassified non-coding RNA (346 nucleotides) under soil metagenome. RNAcentral describes it as "partial contains 5.8S ribosomal RNA, internal transcribed spacer 2, and large subunit ribosomal RNA". The stretch from base 1 to 120 matches the Rfam family "5.8S ribosomal RNA", at positions 35 to 154 of the family's 154-position model. The record is from RNAcentral.